AGUGUUAUCCUAGCCUAGUGGACAUGGCAUCUGCCCGGUAAGCGGAACAUUGUGAGUUCGAUUCCCAUCCCUGGACACUU
Molecule: transfer RNA, 80 nt
Filed under: Cordylochernes scorpioides
Lineage: Eukaryota; Metazoa; Arthropoda; Arachnida; Pseudoscorpiones; Chernetidae
Description: tRNA-Thr
Source: RNAcentral